GUAAUUGCACUUUGUCUCUUUCCAUUCCCCAGUCCCAAAUCUGAAGAACUCCGCACGGGAAGAAGAGAUGUCGAGCUCCAAGGCCGCCGAGCUCCAAGGCUUCUCCAACGAACAGAUUGACUUGUUACUGCAUGCCCAACGAGAGAGAAUGGCUGACGCUGCUUGUGGAGAGAUGGUUUGCAGAAUUUGUCUGAGCCCUUGCAACCGCUAGAGCAAGGGAAGCGGCAUCAGCAUGUACCUCUGGAAGGAGUUCAAAAACACAUGGCAACGCAUGGGCACGACGGAGACAAUAGAAAUGCAGAACGCAGAGCCCUGAACACGACAGAGACAAUGGAGAAGGCAGAGAUCAGUGUCUUGAAGAUCGAGAGUUAGAAGAGAGACGAUAUCACGUUUUGCUCUUUUGAAGAAGAAUUUUUUUGGCAGCUUGCAACAAACUUCUUGUAACCACAUGGCUGCCGCCGUUUGGCUCGCGAGGAGGCGGGGCAACAGUCGGGACAAAGGCACAACAUCGUCACGUGCCCGCACAAAGUCGUGAAGUUGCUCGAAGGAGCCUUUCAGCAAGGCCAUCGCCUGCUCAGGGUGCAGUCUGGGUGCUUCGGGUAUGGAGUGGAGGAAGGAUGGGGGCAAGAUGGGAAGAGGUAGAGGAUUAGCAAUCAACGUGCAUGAAACGUGUGGUUUUAUGGCUUGCUGCUAAUACAAGGGAGAAGGAGAACGAUGUGUGUGGCCCUACGGCACACGUGUUAAACAUAGAAGCCGGUGGACACAACAUGAUAAUCCGCUGGCCGACAGGAAUCAUUUUCCUUCUAAUAACCAGUUGUAAGAUUGAUAAACCUAGACAGAGAGAUCGAACGGCAAAGGCAAUUGGGAGGAUGGGGCGAGAUGGGAAGAGGUAGAGGAUGAGGAAUCAAUUGGGAUGGAACGCGUGAAUGUGGCUUGCUGCUAGGAUAUGAACGAUGCGCCUCCCUAUAGGACACGUGUUAAGCAUAAAAGCUGACGGACAUAGCAUGAUCUU
Triticum aestivum (bread wheat) is the source of this 1012-nucleotide long non-coding RNA. RefSeq lists it as uncharacterized. The transcript is spliced from 4 exons. The record is from RefSeq and is a predicted model, not a curated record. Lineage: Eukaryota; Viridiplantae; Streptophyta; Magnoliopsida; Poales; Poaceae.